UUCCCUGCCUUAUCUACCAAGGAUCGUCGGGCACGUACCUGCCCGUGGAAAGGAAU
Molecule: regulatory RNA element, 56 nt
Organism: Propionibacterium freudenreichii subsp. shermanii CIRM-BIA1
Lineage: Bacteria; Bacillati; Actinomycetota; Actinomycetes; Propionibacteriales; Propionibacteriaceae
Rfam family: msiK RNA
Source: Rfam